This 440-nucleotide ribosomal RNA is filed under the name uncultured bacterium. RNAcentral describes it as "partial 16S ribosomal RNA". It matches the Rfam family "Bacterial small subunit ribosomal RNA", at positions 338 to 795 of the family's 1533-position model. The record is from RNAcentral.
CCUACGGGCGGCAGCAGUGGGGAAUAUUGCACAAUGGGGGAAACCCUGAUGCAGCGACGCCGCGUGAGGGAAGAAGGAUUUCGGGAUGUAAAGCUCUAUCAGCAGGGACGAAAAUGACGGUACCUGACUAAGAAGCCCCGGCUAACUACGUGCCAGCAGCCGCGGUAAUACGUAGGGGGCAAGCGUUAUCCGGAUUUACUGGGUGUAAAGGGAGCGUAGGCGGGAGCGCAAGUCUGAAGUGAAAUCCCAGGGCUUAACCCUUGGCCUGCAUUGGAAACUGUGGAUCUGGAGUGCUGGAGAGGUAAGCGGAAUUCCUAGUGUAGCGGUGAAAUGCGUAGAUAUUAGGAGGAACACCAGUGGCGAAGGCGGCUUACUGGACUGUAACUGACGUUGAGGCGCGAAAGCGUGGGGAGCAAACAGGAUUAGAUACCCGGGUAGUC